CCUACGGGAGGCAGCAGUCGAGAAUUAUUCACAAUGGGGGAAACCCUGAUGGUGCGACGCCGCGUGGGGGAAUGCAGGUCUUCGGAUUGUAAACCCCUGUCAUGUGGGAGCAAAUUAAAAAGAUAGUACCACAAGAGGAAGAGACGGCUAACUCUGUGCCAGCAGCCGCGGUAAUACAGAGGUCUCAAGCGUUGUGCGGAAUCACGGGGCGUAAGGGGUGCGUAGGCUGUUUCGUAAGUCGUGUGUGAAAGGCGCGGGCUCAACCCGCGGAGGGCACAUGGUACGGCGCGGCUUGAGUAAUGGGGGGGGAACCGGAAUUCGUGGUGUAGCAGUGAAAUGCGUAGAUAUCGCGAGGAACACUCGUGGCGAAGGCGGGUUCCUGGACAUUAACUGACGCUGAGGCACGAAGGCCAGGGGAGCGAAAGGGAUUAGAUACCCUUGUAGUC
RNAcentral lists this ribosomal RNA (446 nucleotides) under uncultured bacterium. Its description in RNAcentral is "partial 16S ribosomal RNA". It matches the Rfam family "Bacterial small subunit ribosomal RNA", at positions 338 to 795 of the family's 1533-position model. The record is from RNAcentral.